Molecule: microRNA precursor, 80 nt
Filed under: Myotis brandtii (Brandt's bat)
Lineage: Eukaryota; Metazoa; Chordata; Mammalia; Chiroptera; Vespertilionidae
Description: mir-9193 microRNA precursor family
Rfam family: mir-9193 microRNA precursor family
Source: Rfam by way of RNAcentral
CAUGGGGGAGUGGGGGGGGGUCCCUCAGCCUGGAUUGUAAAAGGGCACAGGCCAGGCCGAGGGACCCCACUUGAUGCACG